UAGGGAAUCUUCGGCAAUGGGGGCAACCCUGACCGAGCAACGCCGCGUGAGUGAAGAAGGUUUUCGGAUCGUAAAGCUCUGUUGUAAGAGAAGAACGUGUGUGAGAGUGGAAAGUUCACACAGUGACGGUAACUUACCAGAAAGGGACGGCUAACUACGUGCCAGCAGCCGCGGUAAUACGUAGGUCCCGAGCGUUGUCCGGAUUUAUUGGGCGUAAAGCGAGCGCAGGCGGUUUAAUAAGUCUGAAGUUAAAGGCAGUGGCUUAACCAUUGUUCGCUUUGGAAAAUGUUAAGCUUGAGUGCAGAAGGGGAGGGUAGAAUUCCAUGUGUAGCGGUGAAAUGCGUAGAUAUAUGGAGGAAGAACGGUGGCGAAGGCGGCUCUCUGGUCUGUAACUGACGCUGAGGCUCGAAAGCGUGGGGAGCAAACAGG
RNAcentral lists this ribosomal RNA (429 nucleotides) under bacterium. Its description in RNAcentral is "partial 16S ribosomal RNA". It matches the Rfam family "Bacterial small subunit ribosomal RNA", at positions 355 to 776 of the family's 1533-position model. The record is from RNAcentral.